Molecule: ribosomal RNA, 402 nt
Filed under: Verrucomicrobiota bacterium
Lineage: Bacteria; Pseudomonadati; Verrucomicrobiota
Description: Verrucomicrobia bacterium partial 16S ribosomal RNA
Rfam family: Bacterial small subunit ribosomal RNA
Source: RNAcentral
UGGGGAAUUUUGCACAAUGGGGGAAACCCUGAUGCAGCGACGCCGCGUGAUUUAGAAGGCCUUCGGGUUGUAAAAAUCUUUUCUAUGGGAAGAAAAUGACAGUACCAUAGGAAUAAGGACCGGCUAAUUACGUGCCAGCAGCCGCGGUAAUACGUAAGGUACGAGCGUUGUCCGGAAUCAUUGGGCGUAAAGGUUACGUAGGCGGGUAAGGAAGUUAGAAGUGAAAUCCUGUAGCUCAACUGCAGUAAGCUUUUAAAACUGCUCAUCUUGAGAUAUGGAAGGGAAAGUGUAAUUCCUAGUGUAGCGGUGAAAUGCGCAGACAUUAGGAGGAAUACCGGUGGCGAAGGAGACCUUCUGGCCAUACACUAACGCUGAGGUACGAAAGCGUGGGUAGCAAACAGG